Meriones unguiculatus (Mongolian gerbil) is the source of this 866-nucleotide long non-coding RNA. RefSeq lists it as uncharacterized. Lineage: Eukaryota; Metazoa; Chordata; Mammalia; Rodentia; Muridae. The record is from RefSeq and is a predicted model, not a curated record. The transcript has 5 exons.
UUCCUUCUCUUCCUCCUCCUCCUUCUUCACUUCUCCCUCUACCUCCUCCUCUUCCUCCUACUCCUUCUUCUCCUCCUUCUCCUCUUCCUUCUUUUUCUCCUCCUUCUCCUAUUUCUCCUCCUCCUCCUCCUCCUCCUUCUCCUCCUCCUCCUCCUCUUUCUCACUUCCCCCCCCUCUUCUUUCUUCUUAGGACACACACAAGUGUCCAGGUUGCCAGGAGCUGGCAUGCAGCGACAGCCUCUCAGGAUGACUGGCUGACACUGCUUUCCGAAAGAAUGUCCGAGUCUGCCUGCUGCAAAGAUCCAAGGAACGCGUGAGUUUCAUGUGAUUGAUGGCUGUUGACUGACAGUGGGUUUUGUGGAAUAAUGAGAAGAGUCCCAGUCGGCAAAGGGCUCCAAGAACAAAUGAGGGAAAAAAAUGUGGCUGAAAUUCAAAGGCAAAAAGUUCACUUACUUGCUCAUCAUUCUGCGGACUCCAUGGAAGAUGAAGCCCAUCAUAAGUAUUAAUGUGCAUGACAUCUCCUUCCAGUUAAGCGGUCCGUGCCGUGAACGAGGAGGUUCUCUGUGCAGAGGAGGUGCUGCCUUGGAGGCAUCCCCAGAGCGUGCACCAUCUUCUGAACACCAGCAAGGACAGGGUGGGACACUGAGUCCCUUCCUGUGAAGGAUUUCCCACUGUGGCUUCUGUUUGUUUGAUUGAUGAUUGAUUGUUUCAUUGGUUGGGUUUGGGUUUUUUUUGUGUUGUUUAUCGAGACAGGGUUUCUCUGUGUAGCCCUGGCUGUCCUGGAACUCACUCUGUAGACUAGGCUGGCCUUGAACUCAGAGAUCUGCCUGCCUCUGCCUCCCAAGUGCUGGGAUUAAAGGAGUACG